RNAcentral lists this long non-coding RNA (725 nucleotides) under Pan troglodytes (chimpanzee). RNAcentral's name for it is "lincRNA". Lineage: Eukaryota; Metazoa; Chordata; Mammalia; Primates; Hominidae. The record is from RNAcentral.
AUGUUUUCAUCUCUAGCAUGGUGGUUAGUCACAACUGAAUCUUUCAAGAGAGGAAAGAGCAGACACUAGGCACAGAACAAAGAGCAAAUGAAACAGGAACUGUGGAAUAACACUGUGUUCCCAAAGAAAACAUAACUGCCAUAGAUCACAGAAUGAAAGCCCCAGAGCACGCAGCAGAGAAGUCCAGCAACUGGAGUCAACAUUUACAGAAAACCCUGUGGGAAGACUGUGGCACUACCAACUGAUUAACAUGUUACAGAACUCAUUUUAUAUUGCAACCAGGCUGAGGAGGGCCCAUCACCUGCACAUAAAUAUUUGGACAUUGGAGACAACUUGAAGACAGCUAGCUGCAGAGUGAUAUUCCAGAAUAAGAGUUUUGAAGCUCCAGAUGACUAGCUGACCUGGGUAUUAAUGCUGGAUAUAGCAACGUCCUUCUAUGUCCUUCUAAAUUUUCUUCAUGAGUAGUGAUAAGUUAUGCUGAGAAAAAUUCUUGAACCUACAGUUAUACAACAUUGUUCUUGCCGCCUUUCAAAAAUGGACAAUGUCUCCCAUAUGGAAUAUCUACUGAUGAUCUUGCAAGAAGGUGAAUAAAAAAUCCAAUGAAGACAUAAAAGGAGUUUCAUUUAAAAAAUCUGGCAAAAUGGAAGUUUGCUUUACACAAACAGUAAAGAAGCCUUGGAAGAUAAUGUUGACUUCCCAUGCUCAAAAGUACUCUGACUCAGGGA